This 235-nucleotide ribosomal RNA is filed under the name uncultured bacterium. RNAcentral's name for it is "partial 16S ribosomal RNA". It matches the Rfam family "Bacterial small subunit ribosomal RNA", at positions 99 to 334 of the family's 1533-position model. The record is from RNAcentral.
CGCACGGGUGAGUAACACGUAUCUAACCUGCCGUCUACUCUUGGACAGCCUUCUGAAAGGAAGAUUAAUACAAGAUGGCAUCAUGAGUCCGCAUGUUCACAUGAUUAAAGGUAUUCCGGUAGACGAUGGGGAUGCGUUCCAUUAGAUAGUAGGCGGGGUAACGGCCCACCUAGUCUUCGAUGGAUAGGGGUUCUGAGAGGAAGGUCCCCCACAUUGGAACUGAGGCACGGUCCAA